This 468-nucleotide ribosomal RNA is filed under the name uncultured bacterium. RNAcentral's name for it is "partial 16S ribosomal RNA". It matches the Rfam family "Bacterial small subunit ribosomal RNA", at positions 28 to 507 of the family's 1533-position model. The record is from RNAcentral.
GACGAACGCUGGCGGCGUGCUUAACACAUGCAAGUCGAACGGAAAGGCCCUGCUUUUGUGGGGUGCUCGAGUGGCGAACGGGUGAGUAACACGUGAGUAACCUGCCCUUGACUUUGGGAUAACUUCAGGAAACUGGGGCUAAUACCGGAUAGGAGCUCCUGCUGCAUGGUGGGGGUUGGAAAGGUUCGGCGGUUGGGGAUGGACUCGCGGCUUAUCAGCUUGUUGGUGGGGUAGUGGCUUACCAAGGCUUUGACGGGUAGCCGGCCUGAGAGGGUGACCGGCCACAUUGGGACUGGGAUACGGCCCAGACUCCUACGGGAGGCAGCAGUGGGGAAUAUUGCACAAUGGGCGGAAGCCUGAUGCAGCAACGCCGCGUGCGGGAUGACGGCCUUCGGGUUGUAAACCGCUUUCGCCUGUGACGAAGCGUGAGUGACGGUAAUGGGUAAAGAAGCACCGGCCAACUACGUG